CCUGAGCUGUGGGUGGCUCGAGAGCACUACCUUGGGAAUGCAGCGUCCAGAGGCUCCCGGUUCUCCUAGUUGUUUCUCGAGACUCCCAGAACACUGACACUCACAAGAACAGCGUCUGGCUGGAUCCUCUUAACAGUUCUGCAACGAUUCGGAACCAAUUCAGCACCAUUUUAAAAGAGCCACUGAAAAGUCUGGAGAGGCUUAAAUAUGAUUUCCCACGGAUUCCUACUUCCAUGUCAAAUAAUGUCCGGAAACGUUGCCACCAAAUAAGUAUGAGGAUAUUAUUUUGGAGAAACAAUUAACCCCUGCCAAAAUAUAAGGCGCGAGGAGAAAAGGUGAGACUGGAAGACAAGGAAACCCUUUGCAUUCGCUGGUGGAGGAAAGUGCAAUUUGGGGACGGGCUGGAGGGGUUCUAGUACACAUACUUCAGCACCGGAGGGCAUGGACAGCAUCUGCAGACGAGGCUGCAGCCACGGGAACAGAACUGCGCUGCCGCUUCCACUGCUGCUGUCCUUGGCUGCCACUGUCGUCGCCACGGGCAGCUGGGUUCCCUGCUCCUCACAGCUAAAAGGCGGUGCCUCCUAAUAUCCCGUCGUCUCUCCUCCCUUUCCUUGAUAAACGAAAAGUAAGUCUCCUUAUUCACCUGCUAUAACUGCUAUACAGGGCUGUGAGGAGUACUCUUGUUCCACAGAUUAAACCCUCAGCCGCAACUUCAAGAAUAAUUUUCUAUAGGGGACUCAGAGAAAUGCAAGCAGAAGGGUUCAAAAUUCCUAAAGGCUCUGAGAAAUCAUGGAUUGUAAAGUAGGGAUCGAAAUGCUUAAAGGCCCACUCGAAAUGCUUAACGGCCCACUCAUUUUGAAAUAAACAAAAUAUUCAAGGGAGAAUUGCAACCGUUUGGGGAAUAACUUUGUGAGAGGAGGUUCCAGAACUACUCAAAACCCCACGUUAGAGAAACUGAAAGACUUCUAAUUAUUUUACUUGGCAGGCGUGAGAAGAUCGAAUCUAUGCAUCCAAGAAGAGUCUUCCUGCGGUCCUCAUCUAGAGCCACAAUGUUUCCAGAAGACACAAGAUAUAAUUGACUAUUCGCCAGAAUGUUGAGAUUGCCAGAGAAGUGAAUUCUGAGAAAAAGAGAAUAUUGCUCUACCUAAACCCAAGU
Long non-coding RNA from Rhinolophus ferrumequinum (greater horseshoe bat), 1156 nucleotides. RefSeq lists it as uncharacterized. Lineage: Eukaryota; Metazoa; Chordata; Mammalia; Chiroptera; Rhinolophidae. The record is from RefSeq and is a predicted model, not a curated record. The transcript is spliced from 4 exons.